This 405-nucleotide ribosomal RNA is filed under the name uncultured bacterium. Its description in RNAcentral is "partial 16S ribosomal RNA". It matches the Rfam family "Bacterial small subunit ribosomal RNA", at positions 30 to 526 of the family's 1533-position model. The record is from RNAcentral.
AUUGAACGCUGGCGGCAGGCUUAACACAUGCAAGUCGAACGAGUGGCGGACGGGAGAGUAAUGAUUGGGCCUCUAGCUUGUGGAUGGGGAUAACUACGGGACACUGUAGCUACUAACGCGUACCAUAGCAUGAGCCCAAGUGGGAUUAGGUAGUUGGUGAGGUAAAGGCACACCAAGGCGACGAUCUCUAGCUGGUCUGAGAGGAUGAACAGCCACACUGGAACUGAGACACGGCCCAGACUCCUACGGGAGGCAGCAGUGGGGAAUAUUGCGCAAUGGGGGCAACCUGACGCAGCCAUGCCGCGUGAGUGAAGAAGGCCUUCGGGUUGUAAAGUUCUUUCGGUUGCGAGGCGUUAACUACAGAAGAAGCACCGGCUAACUCCGUGCCAGCAGCCGCGGUAAUUC